Molecule: long non-coding RNA, 1409 nt
Filed under: Heterocephalus glaber (naked mole-rat)
Lineage: Eukaryota; Metazoa; Chordata; Mammalia; Rodentia; Bathyergidae
Description: lncRNA (ENSHGLG00000047448.1)
Source: RNAcentral
CCCAGCCCGGAGGCCCUCGCGCGUCCCCUGCCGGGAGAAGGAGCCCUGGUCUCCCGCGGCCAGGGCCUCUCGGCCUCCCCAGUCGCGGGCUCGGACAGCACUGUCUCUGCCCAACAGCUUGCCUGUUCCAAGCAGCUGCAAGCUUGUUCUCAAGCCAGAAGACAAUGACUGCCCUCACUGAAGCAGAGAUCGAAAUUGGCACCUGCCCUCCUUUGCUUCUCUGUAUAGCAAAACUCCCUUAAGAGUUGUCUCUAUUUGGGUGGGGGAUUUAGCUCAGUGGUUUUGCCGCCUGCUGUGCAAGCACAAGGACCCAAGUUCAAUCCCCGGUACCAAAAAAAAAAAAAAAGAGUUGUUUCUAUUUGUCUCCAUUCCUCUCCUCCAUUCUCUUGUGAAUCUGAUUGUGGUGGACAGUGCCCAGUAGCCCACCUCCUGCAAUUCAUGCCCUUGUCAGACCCCUGCCCUUGGUGUGGGGUGAACAGUAGAAGUGAUAGGAUGGCACACAAAAAGAUGCCAAGCAUGCUGUGUCAUGAAGGAAUUGCAUAUUAAAGCAGCACUGAGAUACUACUACACACCCACUGGAAUCACUGAAAUCCCAAACACUGACACCUUCAAAUGUUGGUGAGGAUGCGGAGCAACAGGAAUGCUCAUUCAUUGCUAGUGGGAAUGCAAAAUGGAGUAUUUGGAAGACCAUUUGUUGGUUUGUUACAAAGCUGAACAUACUUUUACCACAUGAUCCAGGAAUUUUACUCCUUGGUAUUUACCCAGGGGAGUUGAACACUUAUGUGCACACAAACACCUGUGCACAAAUGAUUAUAUCAACUUUAUUCAUAACCACCAAAAUUUGAGAGGGCAAGGGGAAUUUUUAAAAAUCAAGAUGCAAUGUUUAUAUGUACCAAUUCUCUAAAAUGAAUGUAUUUAUUAUGUAUUGCAAACAUAUACUAAUAAAAUUUUUUUAAAAAUUGGGAGCAACCAAGAUGUUCUUCUGUAGGUGAAUGAAUAAACUGUGGUUCAUCGAGACCACAGAAUAUUUAGCACUAAAUAAAAUGAGCUAUCAACUCACAAAAGGACAUGCAGAAAGCUUGAAGGCAUGUUACAAAGUGAAUGAAGCCAAUCUGAAAAGGCUACAUAUUGUAUGAUUCCAACUAUUUAACAUUUAGAAAAGGCAAAACUGGAGACAGUGAGAAGAUCAGUGAUUGCCAGACAGUGGGGGAAGGGAAGAUGGAUGAAUGGAAUGAGAUUUUUGGCAGUGAGAGUAGAAAUUCUGUAUGAUACAUUCAUGAAAAUCCAGAGUGUCUAACACAGAGUGAACCCUAAUGAAAUCUAUGAACUUUGCUUGGUAAUGAUGUGUCAGUGUAGGUUCACCAAUUGUAACAAAUGUACCACCUCGGAAUGGGAUGCUGAUAGUGAGG